This 533-nucleotide ribosomal RNA is filed under the name uncultured Glomeromycotina. RNAcentral's name for it is "SSU rRNA". It matches the Rfam family "Eukaryotic small subunit ribosomal RNA", at positions 569 to 1108 of the family's 1831-position model. Lineage: Eukaryota; Fungi; Glomeromycota. The record is from RNAcentral.
AGCAGCCGCGGUAAUUCCAGCUCCAAUAGCGUAUAUUAAAGUUGUUGCAGUUAAAAAGCUCGUAGUUGAAUUUCGGGACUAUCAUGUCGGUCGUGCCUCGGUACGUACUGGCAUUGUUGGUUUCUACCUUCUGACGAACCAUGAUGUCAUUUAUUUGGUGUCGUGGGGAAUCAGGACUGUUACUUUGAAAAAAUUAGAGUGUUUAAAGCAGGCUCACGCUUGAAUACAUUAGCAUGGAAUAAUGAAAUAGGACGUUUGAUUCUAUUUUGUUGGUUUCUAGGAUCGAUGUAAUGAUUAAUAGGGAUAGUUGGGGGCAUUAGUAUUCAAUUGUCAGAGGUGAAAUUCUUGGACCGCCGGAAGACGGACAACUGCGAAAGCAUUUGCCAAGAAUGUUUUCAUUAAUCAAGAACGAAAGUUAGAGGUUCGAAGGCGAUCAGAUACCGCCCUAGUUCUAACCGUAAACGAUGACAACCAGCGAUUAAUCGGCGUUAAUAUACGACCCGAUUAGCAGCUUCCGGGAAACCAAAGUGUUU